GACGAACGCUGGCGGCGUGCCUAAUACAUGCAAGUCGAGCGAACGGACGCGAACGUUUCUCUUCUGAUGUUAGCGGCGGACGUGUGAGUAAUACGUGGAUCACCUACCUAUAAGACUGGGAUAACUUCGUUAAACCGGUGCUAAUAACGGAUAAAAUUUUGCACCGCAUUGUUCUUAAGUGAAAGACGGUCUUGCUGUCACUUAUAGAUGGUUCCGGGCUGCAUUAGGUAGCUGGUAAGGUAACGGCUUACCAAGGCAAGGAUGCAUAGCCGACCGGAGAGGGGGAUGAGGCACCCUAGAACGGAGACACGGUCCAGACUACUACGGGAGGCAGCAGUAGGGAAUCUUCCGCAAUGGGCGAAAGCCUGGAGGAGCAACGCCGCGUGGGGUAUGAAAGUCUUCGGAUAGUAAAACUCUGUUAUUAGGGAAGAACAUAUGUGUAAGUAACUGUGAGCAUCUUGACGGUACCUAAUGAGAAAGCAACGGCUAACUACGUG
This 497-nucleotide ribosomal RNA is filed under the name uncultured bacterium. Its description in RNAcentral is "partial 16S ribosomal RNA". It matches the Rfam family "Bacterial small subunit ribosomal RNA", at positions 28 to 507 of the family's 1533-position model. The record is from RNAcentral.